Molecule: unclassified non-coding RNA, 96 nt
Filed under: Ohtaekwangia koreensis
Lineage: Bacteria; Pseudomonadati; Bacteroidota; Cytophagia; Cytophagales; Fulvivirgaceae
Description: Flavo-1 RNA
Source: RNAcentral
UUAUACUCCGCGUGAGGGAUAGUAGCGGAAAGCCCGGAGCGUGGGCAGGGGUGUGCGAAUGGCUGCGAGGACUUGUAGCGGAUAGCCCGACCCGUA